Molecule: ribosomal RNA, 283 nt
Filed under: uncultured Yersinia sp.
Lineage: Bacteria; Pseudomonadati; Pseudomonadota; Gammaproteobacteria; Enterobacterales; Yersiniaceae
Description: partial 16S ribosomal RNA
Rfam family: Bacterial small subunit ribosomal RNA
Source: RNAcentral
CGACUUACUACUUCGGGACUGUGAGACAGGUGCUGCAUGGCUGUCGUCAGCUCGUGUUGUGAAAUGUUGGGUUAAGUCCCGCAACGAGCGCAACCCUUAUCCUUUGUUGCCAGCACGUAAUGGUGGGAACUCAAGGGAGACUGCCGGUGACAAACCGGAGGAAGGUGGGGAUGACGUCAAGUCAUCAUGGCCCUUACGAGUAGGGCUACACACGUGCUACAAUGGCAGAUACAAAGUGAAGCGAACUCGCGAGAGCAAGCGGACCUCAUAAAGUGCGUCGUAA